RNAcentral lists this ribosomal RNA (305 nucleotides) under uncultured bacterium. Its description in RNAcentral is "partial 16S ribosomal RNA". It matches the Rfam family "Bacterial small subunit ribosomal RNA", at positions 505 to 809 of the family's 1533-position model. The record is from RNAcentral.
ACAGCAGCAGCCGCGGUAAUACGAAGGGUGCAAGCGUUACUCGGAAUUACUGGGCGUAAAGCGUGCGUAGGUGGUGGUUUAAGUCCGUUGUGAAAGCCCUGGGCUCAACCUGGGAAUUGCAGUGGAUACUGGGUCACUAGAGUGUGGUAGAGGAUAGUGGAAUUUCCGGUGUAGCAGUGAAACGCGUAGAGAUCGGAAGGAACAUCUGUGGCGAAGGCGACUAUCUGGGCCAACACUGACACUGAGGCACGAAAGCGUGGAGCAAACAGGAUUAGAUACCCCGGUAGUCCCUGUCUCUUAUACAC